Molecule: long non-coding RNA, 816 nt
Filed under: Arabidopsis lyrata
Lineage: Eukaryota; Viridiplantae; Streptophyta; Magnoliopsida; Brassicales; Brassicaceae
Description: long non-coding RNA (ALYR_LNC001022)
Source: RNAcentral
CUAUGUCCCUCGAAACAUUCUUUCUCUUAAAAUAUUAACUCUCCCUUCUCUCUAAAAAGAAAACUCGCAGCCGCCGCCUAGGGUUACCAGUUCCGGUGGCUUUUUCAACACCGAAAUCGGGGUCUUGUUUCUUUCAUUCUCUCGUUUCGUUUUUAUUUUUCCGGCACAUCUGAGUCCUGUUUUUUUCCAACGGUAUUAGAUCUAGAAUUACAGAUCUAGAUAUAUAAAGUCUAAAUCUAUUUAUCUUCGGGUUCUUGCUGCUUGUUUUUGUCUCCCACAAGUUUAGCUUCAGAUCUGGCUGAUCCGUCCAUGGCAGAGGCAGUCUCUAACUGCUCCUUCACUGCCUGAAACUUCACCAUCGAAGAUCUCGAUCUCCUUCCUUUCUUCAAGAGACUUUCAUUCCUUCGGAUCUCUAGGUCUUGGAUUUGUCUCACAGCCUUUGUGGCUCCUCUCCGGAGCAAUGUAAAGAAUAUCGCAAGGCUUUUUCAUCCGGGUUUAAUUAGUGGUAAGGUGAGUCUUGUAAUUGGUUCUGUUUGUGUGGGUUUUUAAUCUCAAAUCUGUUAAUUUUAUCAUUGAUGUAGGCUUUGUAUGUUUAUUUUUGAUUGGUUAUGAGUCCUGAAAGUAUUCGAAUGGAUGUUAUGUAAUUGUUUGUUUGGGUUUUUUCCUUUUUGUUUCAUCUUAGUUUGGUCUUUGUCUCUGGGAGUCUUCAUAAACUCGCUGGCUCAGUCUCUAGAAGGGUUGUUUCCCUUGCCGGCUCUUGUAUUCCAACCUUGAAUUCUAUCAAUGAAAUCCAUAUUUCUAGUGAAAAAAACAAAC